This 24-nucleotide ribosomal RNA is filed under the name Saccharum spontaneum (wild sugarcane). Lineage: Eukaryota; Viridiplantae; Streptophyta; Magnoliopsida; Poales; Poaceae. The record is from RNAcentral.
GGAUGCGAUCAUACCAGCGCUACA